Molecule: long non-coding RNA, 234 nt
Filed under: Elaeis guineensis (African oil palm)
Lineage: Eukaryota; Viridiplantae; Streptophyta; Magnoliopsida; Arecales; Arecaceae
Description: long non-coding RNA (EGUI_LNC009793)
Source: RNAcentral
GGGUCCAUGCUUCAUCAAUAGUGAGAACAGCAGAGAGAGAGAGAGAGAGAGAGAGGACUCUCUCUAUCCCUCUUUUUCUCUUCUUCUUCUUGUUUUUUUGUUCUUUUCCUUGGUUUCUUUUGCAAAACAGGGGAACUUGCCCCACCUUUCUCUGGAAUAGAAGAGGACCAUGAGGCCUGAUGGUGGCUAUGGUUGGCAAUGGUGCUAGCCAUAGGAGCACAAAUGAUGGGGGAA